RNAcentral lists this unclassified non-coding RNA (253 nucleotides) under uncultured Succinivibrionaceae bacterium. RNAcentral's name for it is "contains 16S-23S intergenic spacer region". It matches the Rfam family "Bacterial small subunit ribosomal RNA", at positions 524 to 776 of the family's 1533-position model. Lineage: Bacteria; Pseudomonadati; Pseudomonadota; Gammaproteobacteria; Aeromonadales; Succinivibrionaceae. The record is from RNAcentral.
UACGGAGGGUGCAAGCGUUAAUCGGAAUAACUGGGCGUAAAGAGCUCGUAGGUGGUUAAUUAAGUCAGAUGUGAAAGCCCUGGGCUUAACCUAGGAUGUGCAUUUGAAACUGGUUAACUAGAGUACUGUAGAGGGAGGUAGAAUUCCAGGUGUAGCGGUGAAAUGCGUAGAUAUCUGGAGGAAUACCAGUGGCGAAGGCGGCCUCCUGGACAGAGACUGACGCUGAGGAGCGAAAGCGUGGGGAGCAAACAGG